CAGAGGGUGCAAACGUUGUUCGGAAUUACUGGGCGUAAAGCGCGUGUAGGCGGCACUACAAGUCGGAUGUGAAAUCCCGCGGCUUAACCGUGGAAGUGCACCCGAAACUGUAGAGCUAGAGUCCCGGAGAGGGUGGUGGAAUACUUGGUGUAGAGGUGAAAUUCGUAGAUAUCAAGUGGAACACCGGUGGCGAAGGCGGCCAUCUGGACGGUGACUGACGCUGAGACGCGAAAGCGUGGGUAGCAAACAGGAUUAGAUACCCUGGUAGUCCACGCCGUAAACGAUGAGUGCUAGUUGUCAGAGGCUUUGACCCUUCUGGUGACGAAGCUAACGCGUUAAGCACUCCGCCUGGGGAGUACGGUCGCAAGACUA
RNAcentral lists this ribosomal RNA (372 nucleotides) under uncultured organism. RNAcentral describes it as "bacterial SSU rRNA". It matches the Rfam family "Bacterial small subunit ribosomal RNA", at positions 526 to 896 of the family's 1533-position model. The record is from RNAcentral.